Molecule: ribosomal RNA, 497 nt
Filed under: uncultured bacterium
Lineage: Bacteria
Description: partial 16S ribosomal RNA
Rfam family: Bacterial small subunit ribosomal RNA
Source: RNAcentral
GACGAACGCUGGCGGCGUGCCUAAUACAUGCAAGUAGAACGCUGAAGCUUGGUGCUUGCACCGAGCGGCUGAGUUGCGAACGGGUGAGUAACGCGUAGGUAACCUGCCUGGUAGCGGGGGAUAACUAUUGGAAACGAUAGCUAAUACCGCAUAAGAGUAGAUGUUGCAUGACAUUUGCUUAAAAGGUGCAAUUGCAUCACUACCAGAUGGACCCGCGUUGUAUUAGCUAGUUGGUGAGGUAACGGCUCACCAAGGCAACGAUACAUAGCCGACCUGAGAGGGUGAUCGGCCACACUGGGACUGAGACACGGCCCAGACUCCUACGGGAGGCAGCAGUAGGGAAUCUUCGGCAAUGGACGGAAGUCUGACCGAGCAACGCCGCGUGAGUGAAGAAGGUUUUCGGAUCGUAAAGCUCUGUUGUAAGAGAAGAACGAGUGUGAGAGUGGAAAGUUCACACUGUGACGGUAUCUUACCAGAAAGGGACGGCUAACUACGUG